AACAGUAUGUAGGGUAAGGGCCUUUAGCUGAAAGGCAGAGAAGACCACACAAGCACUGCUCAGCAUUUUGGAAAUUGGAGCUGUUAAUCUUACCGAUAACUGCUUAUCACAUACAGGCUAUUUUAUCUCCAAAACUAAUCAAUUGUUCUCAACAUGGAGUAUUUGGAAAUGGUUGAGGAGGAAAAGAACUUUUCCUUCCAUGAGAAAGAUGACAGAGAUCAGUGGAUUGAUGACAUGGUGAAGAAGGAUAAAAAGAGGUGAAGUGGCCUGCCUGCAAUCCCGUGGUCUCACAGUCAAGCUACCCGGCUUCAAGUCCAACACCCUUUCACUAUUGUGAAGAAAUCAUCCCCUCUCAUGCAUGGCUAGUAGGAGGCCUACUCUUGACUGUCUCGUCAGACGAGGGAAGGUGAAGAAAGUAAUGUCCAGACUAAGCUCGUCCCGACUGCAUUCUUAAGUGACAGCAGACUUUUACUCUAGUCUCGCCGUCUUGUGAGAUUAGAGAUGGCAACCUUAAAAACAAGUGCCACAGAGGAAGGUGAAGCAAGGCGACGAUGGUCAGGAAGUUUAAGAACAAAAAAGAUGACACAAUGUCACCCCAGAAGCUUUACAGAAAUCCACCAGUUUCAACAUACAAUUAUGAUUCUGACUGAGGCAGGCUGUUAAACUUGCUUGCACUGAAUGGGUGUGUCUCCCCCUGAAGGAGUAUACAAUGAACAAAUAACACAGAGAACAAAUCUCAAAUCUCGACCUCUCUCAACAUGCCCAUGUUGGUUAGUACCUAACUCAACAUUUUAUAGACAUUUAAAGCCCAGCUACAAACAGAACCCAGACAUCUGAGGAGAGAGGUUGAAAACAAUUUUCAGCAUGGACCUCACUGAACAAUAAUUCUACACUUCAACUUACCAUUCAC
Molecule: long non-coding RNA, 910 nt
Organism: Mesocricetus auratus (golden hamster)
Lineage: Eukaryota; Metazoa; Chordata; Mammalia; Rodentia; Cricetidae
Exons: 4
Source: RefSeq, a predicted model, not a curated record